RNAcentral lists this ribosomal RNA (552 nucleotides) under uncultured bacterium. Its description in RNAcentral is "bacterial SSU rRNA". It matches the Rfam family "Bacterial small subunit ribosomal RNA", at positions 355 to 896 of the family's 1533-position model. The record is from RNAcentral.
UGGGGGAUAUUGCGCAAUGGGCGAAAGCCUGACGCAGCGACGCCGCGUGGGUGAUGAAGGCCUUCGGGUCGUAAAGCCCUGUCGAGGGGGAAGAACAAGCCGUGGUCGAAUAGGCUGCGGCUCUGACGGUACCCCUAAAGGAAGCACCGGCUAACUCCGUGCCAGCAGCCGCGGUAAUACGGAGGGUGCGAGCGUUGUUCGGAAUCAUUGGGCGUAAAGGGCGCGUAGGCGGUCUUUUAAGUCAAAUUUGAAAGCCCUCGGCCUUAACCGAGGAAGUGCAUUUGAUACUAAAAGACUUGAGUAUGGGAGAGGGAAGCGGAAUUCCUGGUGUAGCGGUGAAAUGCGUAGAUAUCAGGAGGAACGCCGGUGGCGAAGGCGGCUUCCUGGACCAAUACUGACGCUGAGGCGCGAAGGCGUGGGGAGCAAACAGGAUUAGAUACCCUGGUAGUCCACGCAGUAAACUGUGAACACUAGGUGUAGCGGGUAUUGACCCCUGCUGUGCCGAAGCUAACGCAUUAAGUGUUCCGCCUGGGAAGUACGGCCGCAAGGUUA